CACCCCUCUCUUUACCCUGCCUCAAGCACUUUCUCUCUCUCCUCUCCCCGAAAUCAAAAUUUUCCAGGAAAGAAGAAAGAAAAAUUCGCAAAGAGAGAGAUAGAGAGUGAGCAGAGGUGGAAAGAGUUCCAAAAUGGAUGAAUAUACCAGAGAAAUGAUGGACCUCAAGACUCUUGUCACUCGAACCCUGGAGAAGAAGGGCGUCUUAGCUAAGAUCCGGGCUGAACUCAGGGCAAGUGUCUUUGAGGCAAUUGAAGAGGAGGAUAGGGUAAUUGAAAAGGAAGAGGGCUUACCUCCUGCAUUAUUGGGGAGCUGUAAUGACCGUGCAAAACAACUUCAUGCUUCUCCUUCAGGGAGGUUGCUAACUGCACUGAUAUGUGAAUAUUUGGACUGGGCACAACUAAAUCAUACGCUUAAAGUUUAUCUACCAGAGUGCAAUUUGCAAAAGGAUUCCUGGAAAGCUGAGUUGAAGGAAUUUAGUAGCAAGAAUGGGUAUGAUAUAAACAGAAAUGGUGACAGCGGUCCUUUGCUUUUGGAUGUUCUUGAAGGAUUCUUGAAGUUUGAGAACUUAUCCCAAGGAAGAGGUACUGGAAGGAGGAUAUCAGAAGCUGAGUCCUUAUCUACCUUAGAUUCAAGAAAUGUUCGAAGACCCUCUUCAUCAUCUGUUGCUGGUGGUUUACCUCCACUAGGAAGGCCAGCUUCUUCUCAGUCAUCUGAUAGGAGAGCAGGAUCCUCUAUGUCUGGUUACCGGAAAGAUGAAUAUAAUUGGAGAUAUGAUAGUGAUGAACUUCCAGAAGAUGUGAUACGAGCUUCAGCUGCACUGGAAAACCUUCAGUUGGACAGGAAAGCCCGGAAUCUAACCACAUCUUGGCGACAUGCGGGAGAUGGAAUGAGUGAUGAUGAUGGCAGGGUUGACCAUAUUUAGUUGAAUGGAAUACAUUGUGAAACUGCACUUGUAGUUUAGUAUGUACUUUUCACUCUUAAUCUGUCAAAUGUUCUGUUAUGAGGAAAUGAGGGUAGUGAUUUUAUGGAGAGCUUGAUGGUCAGCUCAAGGUGCGAGUGGUGUGCAACAUCAACAACUCUGAGCUUUCCAGCUAGGCAAGAUGAAAUUCUGGAGGCAUGUGGUAGAAGGAGCAAUGGCACUAGGCACCUGUGUUAGUAGAGGAAUCUGGAAUUAGUGGUGUGUGUAAGGUGCGUGUAAGAGAUGUAUUCUUCCUUAUCAACUACCAUCCAUAAUGGGUUAAGUUGAGUUUCACUACACAUUCUUGCCUGGUUAGGCCGAUUAGAGGGAAUUUAGGCAAAUGAAAGUGUCACAAAAGUAGGCCCUGCUUUUGAGUCCUUUAUCAACAUUAUAGAAUUCAUUAUUGUGGUUGGGUUUUUCGUUAUUAUAGUAAAUGCUGAACUCUUAUGUCCUUUCGUAAUCAAUAAUUGAUUUGUUUGGUUCUUGCCUAUAAUAUGUAAUUGACUCCGGUAUCUAAAAUCACACAUUACAAUUUGAUC
Manihot esculenta (cassava) is the source of this 1500-nucleotide RNA transcript. It is a transcript of the gene named protein TONNEAU 1a, with no coding region annotated. The record is from RefSeq and is a predicted model, not a curated record. NCBI's taxonomy places the organism in Eukaryota, Viridiplantae, Streptophyta, Magnoliopsida, Malpighiales, Euphorbiaceae. The transcript has 9 exons.